CCUCCUCCUGCCACCAGGGGGACCUGGAGGACUGCAGGAGGAAGCAGCACAACAGACAAACAUGAGGACAAAUGGUAAAAACUGGAGCAAAGGUGGACAACAGCAUAGCUGAACUCUGGAUUUCUCAGUUUGGAUUACAUGGAGCCAUCUGAUCACUGUUAAAGAUGAAAGGACAUGUAGGACGUGUCUCUGAGGUGUGAAAGUAGAACCGUGACUCCAGGGACCUAC
This is a long non-coding RNA of Acanthochromis polyacanthus (spiny chromis), 228 nucleotides long. RefSeq lists it as uncharacterized. The transcript is spliced from 2 exons. NCBI's taxonomy places the organism in Eukaryota, Metazoa, Chordata, Actinopteri, Pomacentridae. The record is from RefSeq and is a predicted model, not a curated record.